AAUCAACGCUGGCGGCGUGCCUCAGACAUGCAAGUCGAACGAUUAAGACUUCCUUCGGGAAGUGUAUAAAGUGGCGCACGGGUGAGUAACACGUAAGUAAUCUGCCUUCGAGUGGGGAAUACCUUCGGGAAACCGAAGAUAAUACCGCAUAAUGCAGCGGCACCGCAAGGUGACAGUUGUUAAAGGAGCAAUCCGCUUGAAGAGGAGCUUGCGGCAGAUUAGCUAGNGGUAAGGUAAUGGCUUACCAAGGCUACGAUCUGUAUCCGGUCUAAGAGGACGGUCGGACACACUGACACUGAAUAACGGGUCAGACUCCUACGGGAGGCAGCAGUCGGGAAUUUUGGGCAAUGGGCGAAAGCCUGACCCAGCAACGCCGCGUGAAGGAUGAAGUAUUUCGGUAUGUAAACUUCGAAAGAAUGGGAAGAAUAAAUGACGGUACCAUUUAUAAGGUCCGGCUAACUACGUGCCAGCCGCCGCGGUAAU
RNAcentral lists this ribosomal RNA (483 nucleotides) under uncultured bacterium. RNAcentral describes it as "bacterial SSU rRNA". It matches the Rfam family "Bacterial small subunit ribosomal RNA", at positions 32 to 524 of the family's 1533-position model. The record is from RNAcentral.